UAGGACAGAGGUGCCGAGCGUUAGGCGGAAUCACUGGGCUUAAAGCGUGUGUAGGCGGAGUUCUAAGUACCUUGUGAAAUCCCACGGCUCAACCGUGGAACUGCUUGGUAUACUGGUUCUCUUGGGCCAUCUAGGGGCUAGCGGAACAAACGGUGGGGCGGUGAAAUGCGUAGAUAUCGUUUGGAACGCCAAUGGUGAAAACAGCUAGCUGGGGAUGUGCCGACGCUGAGACACGAAAGCCAGGGGAGCGAACGG
RNAcentral lists this ribosomal RNA (255 nucleotides) under uncultured prokaryote. Its description in RNAcentral is "partial 16S ribosomal RNA". It matches the Rfam family "Bacterial small subunit ribosomal RNA", at positions 521 to 775 of the family's 1533-position model. The record is from RNAcentral.